RNAcentral lists this ribosomal RNA (468 nucleotides) under uncultured bacterium. RNAcentral's name for it is "partial 16S ribosomal RNA". It matches the Rfam family "Bacterial small subunit ribosomal RNA", at positions 28 to 507 of the family's 1533-position model. The record is from RNAcentral.
GACGAACGCUGGCGGCGUGCUUAACACAUGCAAGUCGAACGGAAAGGCCCUGCUUUUGUGGGGUGCUCGAGUGGCGAACGGGUGAGUAACACGUGAGUAACCUGCCCUUGCCUUUGGGAUAACUUCAGGCAACUGGGGCUAAUACCGGAUAGGAGCUCCUGCUGCAUGGUGGGGGUUGGAAAGUUUCGUCGGUUGGGGAUGGACUGGCGCCUUAUCAGCUUGUUGGUGGGGUAGUGGCUUAGCAAGGCUAUGCAGGGUAGCAGGCCUGCGAGGGUCACCUGCCAAGUCAGGAUUGAGAUGCGGCCCAGACUCCUACGGGACGCAGCAGUGGAGUAUGUAGCACUGUGGGCGGAAGCCUAGUGCAGCAACGCCGCGCGGGGGAUGAGGGCAUUCGGUUUGGAUUCUGCUUCCGUCUGUGACGAAGCGUGAGUGACGGUACUGGGUGAAGAAGCACCGGCUAACUACGUG